RNAcentral lists this long non-coding RNA (694 nucleotides) under Linum usitatissimum (flax). RNAcentral describes it as "long non-coding RNA (LUSI_LNC006087)". Lineage: Eukaryota; Viridiplantae; Streptophyta; Magnoliopsida; Malpighiales; Linaceae. The record is from RNAcentral.
CCAGACUCUGAAAUUUGUGAUUUUGACUUUGAUCCUUGUGGCUACUCUAUGAAUGCUAUUGAAGGUGAUGCUGUGUCGACUAUCCAUGUGACUCCUGAAGAUGGGUUCAGCUAUGCUAGCUUUGAAAUGAUGGGAUACAACCCCAAGGAAGUGGAUCUGAACGGAGUGGUGAAAAGGGUUCUGGAUUGCUUCAAGCCAAGUGAGUUCUCUGUGGCGGUGCACGCCAAUGUCGCUGGUAUGAAAGAGGUGGAGCAAGCAUGCUCCCUGAAUGUGAAGGGAUACAGUCGCGGAGAGAGGAGCCGUGAGGAGCUUGGAAUGGGUGGGUCCAUUGUCUACCAGAAGUUUGAUGCUUCUUCGGUGGAUGGUUCUGGCUCUCCUAGGUCAACUCUGAAGGGCUGCUGCUUCAAAGAGGAGGACGAGGAAGUUUAAAUAUUUUCUUCAGUUCUCUUUGUUCUUAUCUUUCAUUGUUUCGGGUUAAAAACUGUGAUCGUCUGUUAUGAAUAAAGGGCCAAUUGCAUAUCAUUGCGAUUGAGUUUCAAGCAUUUGAGUCUGUGUUUGUUUCUUUUUUAUUUUUGCUCUCCUGCAUUAGUAGGAGACUAUUACUAAGUACUAUGGGUUUGUAAUGAAGAGGCUUUUAUGUCCUCAUGGAUUUGUUAUGAUUAUUAAAGUGAACUUUUAAGUGUCUUAUUUUAUG